AGAAAUAUAGUUUAAGAAAAAUAUUUAUUUUGCAAAUAAAAGAUAAAUAAUAAAUUAUUUUAUUUUUA
Molecule: transfer RNA, 68 nt
Filed under: Ceratosolen solmsi
Lineage: Eukaryota; Metazoa; Arthropoda; Insecta; Hymenoptera; Agaonidae
Description: tRNA-Ala
Source: RNAcentral